RNAcentral lists this ribosomal RNA (527 nucleotides) under uncultured bacterium. Its description in RNAcentral is "bacterial SSU rRNA". It matches the Rfam family "Bacterial small subunit ribosomal RNA", at positions 395 to 915 of the family's 1533-position model. The record is from RNAcentral.
UGCCGCGUGAAUGAAGAAGGCCUUCGGGUUGUAAAGUUCUUUCGUGGAGGACGAAAAGGUGGGUGCUAAUAUCGCCUGCUGUUGACGUGAAUCCAAGAAGAAGCACCGGCUAACUCCGUGCCAGCAGCCGCGGUAAUACGGGGGGUGCAAGCGUUAAUCGGAAUCACUGGGCGUAAAGGGUGCGUAGGCGGUGCAUUAGGUCUGUCGUGAAAUCCCCGGGCUCAACCUGGGAAUGGCGGUGGAAACCGGUGUACUAGAGUAUGGGAGAGGGUGGUGGAAUUCCAGGUGUAGCGGUGAAAUGCGUAGAGAUCUGGAGGAACAUCAGUGGCGAAGGCGGCCACCUGGCCCAAUACUGACGCUGAGGCACGAAAGCGUGGGGAGCAAACAGGAUUAGAUACCCUGGUAGUCCACGCCCUAAACGAUGAAUACUAGAUGUUUGGUGCCAGCGUACUGAGUGUCGUAGCUAACCCCAUAAUUAUUCCGCCUGGGAAUUACGGUCCCAAGGUUAAAACUUUAAUGAUUUUACG